AUCAAACUUGAGAGUUUGAUCCUGGCUCAGAACGAACGCUGGCGGCAUGCCUAACACAUGCAAGUCGAACGAGACCUUCGGGUCUAGUGGCGCA
Molecule: ribosomal RNA, 94 nt
Filed under: Sphingomonas sp. SCN 67-18
Lineage: Bacteria; Pseudomonadati; Pseudomonadota; Alphaproteobacteria; Sphingomonadales; Sphingomonadaceae
Description: partial 16S ribosomal RNA
Rfam family: Bacterial small subunit ribosomal RNA
Source: RNAcentral